GCUGGACGGUGAGCGAGGCUGUCCCCAGGGGCCUCCCGCUGCGCAGGCGGGAAACUGAGGCCCUCCGGCCGCGCAGCCUGGACUGCGCAGGGCGGGGAGGCGCAGGGACCAGGAAGGACGCCCCCGGGUCCCUGCGCCUGGAGCCCCGUUCGCUUGGUCCUGGCCUCUGCGAUAUUUACGGAGCGCCUACUGAGUGCCCGUCAUGGAGUAUUCAGCAGUGAGCAAACUAGAUUAAGCCCUCAGGGAUCUUACAGAGGUGAAUCAAAUUGAUGUGUUUCAUCUUCAGAGAAAUUCAUGGCAAGACCUCUGACACUCUAGAAAUCAGGUUUCUGAUAAACUUUCAGAUCAUAAAACUGAACUGGAUUUUAAGAAAUCUUUUAAGUUAUCAACAAUUUGGUAAGAUAUACCUUUGUGAACAAAGAUGGAACAUUUACUUUUUCUCCCUACCUGAUCCCUUGGGAAUUCAGAAGCUCUCGACUGGACUCCCCUGGCCUAAGUUAUUGCCUUUGGUCUCACCAACUGCUCGCAGUGCCCUCCUUGGAAAAGAUGAACUGACCCCAUGUGGGAUGGUCACCAACAGAUCGUUGUUGGUACACAACCUUCUGCUGAUCCCUUGUUGUCUUAUGCUAACAUGACCAACUACUAUAAGUCUCUAAUCUCUAAUACUCAACCCCAUCAACGGGAUAAAGAAGCUUUCCCAGAUUCCAAUUUAAAGGAUCCUGUUGGUCACAGUCUAGAGCUUGGUAAUUGGGUAUUCUGGAAAUGACAUGAGAAGAAGACAACCCUUGAGCUCCAUUGGACAGGACCCUACCAAGUGCUCUUAACCAGUGACCCUGCCGCAGAACUAGAAGGCCUUGAACCUUGGAGAUACGUCUCACAGCUGAAGAGAUCUCCACCUGACAUCUGGUCCUGUACAAAGGCUGGAGACCUCCCCAUCAAAUUGACUAAGAAGAGAAGCCGCUGACAUCUGGGGCAGAGAGCUCCUCCCGAUGC
RNAcentral lists this long non-coding RNA (993 nucleotides) under Equus caballus (horse). RNAcentral describes it as "lncRNA (ENSECAG00000044752.1)". The record is from RNAcentral. Lineage: Eukaryota; Metazoa; Chordata; Mammalia; Perissodactyla; Equidae.